AGUGAACGCUGGCGAUAGGCCUAACACAUGCAAGUCGAACGGCAGCACAGUAAGAGCUUGCUCUUACGGGUGGCGAGUGGCGGACGGGUGAGGAAUACAUCGGAAUCUACUUUUUCGUGGGGGAUAACGUAGGGAAACUUACGCUAAUACCGCAUACGACCUACGGGUGAAAGCAGGGGAUCUUCGGACCUUGCGCGAUUGAAUGAGCCGAUGUCGGAUUAGCGAGUUGGCGGGGUAAAGGCCCACCAAGGCGACGAUCCGUAGCUGGUCUGAGAGGAUGAUCAGCCACACUGGAACUGAGACACGGUCCAGACUCCUACGGGAGGCAGCAGUGGGGAAUAUUGGACAAUGGGCGCAAGCCUGAUCCAGCCAUACCGCGUGGGUGAAGAAGGCCUUCGGGUUGUAAAGCCCUUUUGUUGGGAAAGAAAAGCAGCAGGUUAAUACCCCGCUGUUCUGACGGUACCCAAAGAAUAAGCACCGGCUAACUUCGUG
Molecule: ribosomal RNA, 492 nt
Filed under: uncultured bacterium
Lineage: Bacteria
Description: partial 16S ribosomal RNA
Rfam family: Bacterial small subunit ribosomal RNA
Source: RNAcentral